GAGGUGGCAGAACCAAAUGCGGUUCUGGCUCACCACAUUAGGGUUAAUCUCAGCCAUAGGUGAAAGUACGACCGAAGUUGAUAACGGGUCCAACCCAACUACCUCUUCCAACACUGAACAUUCUGCCUCCACUAGGGCUGCAAAUGGGUUGGGUCGACCCGUGACCCGACCCGACCCAACCCGCUUAAGACCCGACCCGACCCGCAUUUUAGGACCCGCGGGG
Molecule: long non-coding RNA, 223 nt
Filed under: Phoenix dactylifera (date palm)
Lineage: Eukaryota; Viridiplantae; Streptophyta; Magnoliopsida; Arecales; Arecaceae
Description: long non-coding RNA (PDAC_LNC022231)
Source: RNAcentral